This 1602-nucleotide ribosomal RNA is filed under the name Freyastera benthophila. RNAcentral's name for it is "16S ribosomal RNA". It matches the Rfam family "Bacterial large subunit ribosomal RNA". Lineage: Eukaryota; Metazoa; Echinodermata; Asteroidea; Brisingida; Brisingidae. The record is from RNAcentral.
AAAAAUUAGCUUGUUAAGUUAAGGUAUUAUUCUUUAGAAAAUUAGAAAUUAUCAAAAUAUUGAUAAAUUUAUUAGAAAAAAGUAUUGUAAUAAGAAAUUUUUUUAUAAAAGCUAUAGUAAUAGUACUGUGAAGGAAGAUUGAAAGAGUUAGUAAAAAAAAUAGAAAAGAAAAAGUUAUUGUUUAUACCUUUUGUAUGAUGGUUGAGUAAGAUUAAUCAAUUAUGAUUUUGUAUCCCGAAACUUAGUGAGCUAGUGUUUUCUUUCUUUAAGAGAAAAAAAAUUUUACUGUUGCAGUAGUAAGUUUUGAGGAUACAUUAGAUGUGAAAUGUUUAUCGUACUAAGAGAUAGCUGGUUUUUUAAGAAAUUGAUUUUAGUCAAGUAUAAACUUAUAAUAUUAAUGAAUUUUUUAUGAAGAAAAUAAAAUAAGUUAUAAUUUUUUAUUUUAAGACAGAUAGGGAUAAGCUUGUCUGUUAAGUAGGAAAAAGCCUUAAUAAUAAAUUAAAGAUGAAAGUUUUAUAAAUGUGAAAGAACAAAAAGGUAAGUAGGAUUAAUAGCAUCUAUCUUUUGGGAAAGCGUUAAAGCUUAUAUUGUUGGUGUUUAAUCAAAUAAUAUUAGAAUUAAGUCUGAAGUUAUUUUUAAUUAUUAAAAAAUUGUAUGUAGUUACAUGAUAUAAUGCUUAAAUGAGUAAAGAAUACUAUCGGUUGUAAGUUAUUCAUUCCUAACUAAGGAAGGAUAAAAUAUUAUAAUUUAACGGGAAAAAAUUUUUAUAAGUUGUCUUCCAACUCAGGAGAUAGGUUUUUAUUAAUAUAAGGAAAAGGAACUCGGCAAAAUUUUACCUCGCCUGUUUACCAAAAACAUCGCUCUUUGUAAAAUUAUUAAGAUAUAAAGAGUUCUGCCUGCCCAGUGACGUAGUUAAACGGCCGCGGUAUUUUGACCGUGCAAAGGUAGCAUAAUCAUUUGCCUCUUAAAUAGAGGCUGGUAUGAAUGGCAAGACGGAGGUUAAGCUGUCUCUUUCUUAUAUCUUGAAUUUAAUAUUUUUGUGAAGAAGCAGAAAUUUAUUCGUAGGACGAGAAGACCCUAUCGAGCUUUAAUUAUACAUGUCUAUAAUGGUUGUUAUUUGAUAAGGCUAAUUAGAUUAAGUUUUUGAUUAUAUGAUAUUAUUUUAAGAAUAAUAAAUUUUAGGUAUAAAGGUUUUGAUUGGGGCAAUCAUGGAGAAAAAAUAUCCUCCAUUAAAAAAUAAGAAAUAACACUUUCUGUUAGAAGGAUCCGCUGUAUAGCGAUAAAGGAAUAAGUUACCGUAGGGAUAACAGCGUAAUUUUUUUGGAGAGUUCAUAUUGAUAAAAAAGUUUGCGACCUCGAUGUUGGAUCGAGAUUUCCUAGAGAUGCAGUAGUUUCUAGAGGUUGGUCUGUUCGACCAUUAAAAUCUUACGUGAUCUGAGUUCAGACCGGUGUAAGCCAGGUCAGUUUCUAUCCACGAAAAGUUGAUUUUUUUUAGUACGAAAGGACCAAAAAAAUAACACGAAUGUUUAAAAAUAGGUGUUAAAAAAAGUUUUGAAAAAAAAUGAAAAUUUUAUAAAAAAAUUUAAGUUUUAUUUUACUUUG